Molecule: long non-coding RNA, 645 nt
Organism: Mastomys coucha (southern multimammate mouse)
Lineage: Eukaryota; Metazoa; Chordata; Mammalia; Rodentia; Muridae
Exons: 2
Source: RefSeq, a predicted model, not a curated record
UCAUGACUAGUAUAAGUCCCAUCCCUUACACAACUCUAGAAUCUAGAGCGUGGGUUUGUUUUGUAGGAUAGCUCCUUCCUUGGUCCACAAUGAGCCAAUGCCAUCGCUUCAAGGAAAGAUGAAACCCCGGAAAGACUGAGUACAAGUCUCACCUUCAUCUUUCAUCUGAUAGUAAUGACACCUUGUCCACUAAGCCAAGAAUAUCUCUGUGGCAAAAGAUAAAGCAGCCGACUCGUGUUUGCUCUUGUGGAGUUCAGAUCCCAGCGGGAAGACGGUCUCUCUUUUUUUGUGACUAAAAACAGUGUUCGUAGAAGCAGCACCUCAAAUUUGCUGAAGGCCAGGACUCUGGAGAGGAUGAAUGGGACCUCACAGGAAUGAGGACCAGAAGCGGGUUUCUGCCUCUGGAAGGCAAUGCUCACAGCUGGUGGAUACAACCUGUGUGACCUGAAGUUCUGAGAAGUCCCCGCUGUCCACCCUCAUAGCACCUGCCCAUUUCCUGCUGAAAGGACACAAACAAGAGCUCUCUGGUUAGACUCGAAGAAUCCAGGGUGGGUUAUGUAGAGCAGGAAACUUCUUAUCUUGGAGUCUGUAACUUAACUAAAUGAUAGUUGGUAUUUGAUUAAUAAAAUGUAAAAUUCGUAAUGA